AAUAACACAGGCCAUAUUUUUCUUCAGGGUCAAGGCAUUCUUUGACAUGAAGGUCAUUUAUUCAUUCACUUUUAUGUUUAUUUAAGAAGUCAAUAUGAAAUGCCUACUAUGAAGUUACCGUGGAGAGUUAAAGACACAGAGGAGGGUGGGCAGCGGCAGCCAAAAUGAUGGGGACAAGGCCUUGAGAGGUUUCCAGUAUUAUGGGGAAGGGCACUGUGCAUAUACAUAAUCAUAAUUUGUAGUGACAAGUGUGAUCAAAAAGCCUUGGACAAUGUGGUAUGGAAGGACUCGCGUAGCCUGAGAGGAAGGGAGGAUUUACUGAAGAUGCAUGGGCCUUGGAUAGGUCACUGGUAUAGGAUAUCUAGCUGUUCUAGGCUUUAAACUUUCUUGAUUAGACAAAUAAAACCAAUCCAUUUUCAUACUACAGUUGUGAAUGGCCCUGUAAGCAAGUCAGGGGUAGGAUUGAGCAGCUGAGGCUUGAAAUGCAAAAGCAGGAAACAGGAGGUGGUGUGGGGCUUUCAUGGUCAAAGGUGCCCUGAGUUUUGGUCUCUGGUGGUCUAGGUUAAUCAGGUGGUAUAAAGGGGAGUCCGUUUGUCAAACUGUACCCAUUGCCCUUCAGAAGUGGGCAGUUUACCUAACAAACCAUCAUGUACAUCCAGGACUUCCUCUUCUUUUUUUUUAUUUUUUAUUUUAUUUUAUUUUAUUUUUUUAGGACUUCCUCUUCUUGUUAUGCUUCUUAGAGGUAUAAAAUGUGGACGUUCCCACCUCAGUGGUUACUGCUACGUGUGUGUGCACGUGUGUGUGUGUAUGUGUGUGUGUUACAAUUCUAUCUAGACCUUAGCCAGGAGCUUGGAGAGUUUAGAAGGGAGCACCAAGCAGGGGAAAAUGAAAAACAAGAUGGAAAAGUUCAUUUGAAAAGGAAAGGGAGAAAAGGGCCAGCUCUCUAGUGUAGAGCAGAUUCUGUUUCCUUGAUCCUCCAUGCUUACUUCUUCCCCAGAUUUGUAUUGCUUGGUCCUGAUGACUUAUGGAACCCACCUUCCUGGAGUGUCAUUGGUCAAAGUACUAUACAUUGGCAGAGAACAAAACUGAAAGGCAGCUGGAGUGAAACCAGAUUAUGCCUAUGAAAUGGUAGCUUGGGACAAAAUUCUAUGUUUGGUUUUCUGACAUUUUGCUCUGAUGAUCCUGAAUAAUAGAUAAUAGACGGUAUAGACAGAAUUUGACCAAAAAAAAAAAAAAAAAAAA
This 1242-nucleotide long non-coding RNA is filed under the name Canis lupus familiaris (dog). RNAcentral's name for it is "lncRNA (ENSCAFG00000053971.1)". The record is from RNAcentral. Lineage: Eukaryota; Metazoa; Chordata; Mammalia; Carnivora; Canidae.